Molecule: long non-coding RNA, 464 nt
Filed under: Lathyrus oleraceus (garden pea)
Lineage: Eukaryota; Viridiplantae; Streptophyta; Magnoliopsida; Fabales; Fabaceae
Description: Pisum sativum (pea) long non-coding RNA (PSAT_LNC015896)
Source: RNAcentral
UUAGCAAAGUACAAAUCUUUCCUUAGUAUCAUCACACUUGAAUCAUAUAUACCUUGAAUUCAUGAACCAAUAUCCAAAAUAAAAUUAGCAUUAGUAUCCUAUGUCAUCACAUUCAUUCAUGAAUUUGAAUUGCAUUAGGUUAGGUAUUUUACAUUAACACCACCACACAUCGAUUCAAAGUCAAAAAACAAUGAAACUUUUUAAACUGAGCUUGACUUUCCUCCAUUUGCAACCUCAAAUCAUCAACACAGUGACACCGCAGAAAAGAAAAAGGAAGAAGAAGAGGAAUUAGAGGAUAAAUCAGAAGAAAAGAUGAGAAAGAAGAAAAGUAUAAGCGAGGGAGAACGAAGCCUUACUCGAGAAUUUUCCUCGCCAGCGUACUCGCCGGAGAAGCUUGCUCUGAUUUGCUAGUAUUUUUUCUUCGUGAUUUUUGUUUGAUCUUGUUAUUAUAUGAUUGAUUAUAC